UCCCUGGUGGCUCAGUAGGUAAAGCAUCUGCCUGAAACGCAGGAGACCCGAGUUUGAUUCCUGGGUUGGAAA
Molecule: transfer RNA, 72 nt
Filed under: Ovis aries (sheep)
Lineage: Eukaryota; Metazoa; Chordata; Mammalia; Artiodactyla; Bovidae
Rfam family: tRNA
About the family: Transfer RNA (tRNA) molecules are approximately 80 nucleotides in length. Their secondary structure includes four short double-helical elements and three loops (D, anti-codon, and T loops). Further hydrogen bonds mediate the characteristic L-shaped molecular structure. tRNAs have two regions of fundamental functional importance: the anti-codon, which is responsible for specific mRNA codon recognition, and the 3' end, to which the tRNAs corresponding amino acid is attached (by aminoacyl-tRNA synthetases). tRNAs cope with the degeneracy of the genetic code in two manners: having more than one tRNA (with a specific anti-codon) for a particular amino acid; and 'wobble' base-pairing, i.e. permitting non-standard base-pairing at the 3rd anti-codon position.
Source: Rfam by way of RNAcentral